Molecule: unclassified non-coding RNA, 290 nt
Filed under: Protium cubense
Lineage: Eukaryota; Viridiplantae; Streptophyta; Magnoliopsida; Sapindales; Burseraceae
Description: partial external transcribed spacer
Source: RNAcentral
UACUGGCAGGAUCAACCAGGUAGCAUUCCUUCGCGACNNCNNCGCCCGCAUGAGGCCCGACGGGCCGCACGGCCCUCGGACGCUCAAGACGGGCGCGGCGGUCGUUCGUGUCGAGGGACGAAAUGCGUUGCUUGGGCAAACGGAGGCCGAGAGACCCCGCACCCGCGCAUAACGUUCUGCAUCCGAGAGCACGGGCAGAGCACCUCAUGGGCCACGGCAACCACGCGAGCGGGCGAGGCAUGCCAGGAACACGAGGCUCGCCUUGCGUCCACCCCACCNCCCGCGAGGGC